RNAcentral lists this ribosomal RNA (440 nucleotides) under uncultured bacterium. Its description in RNAcentral is "partial 16S ribosomal RNA". It matches the Rfam family "Bacterial small subunit ribosomal RNA", at positions 338 to 795 of the family's 1533-position model. The record is from RNAcentral.
CCUACGGGAGGCAGCAGUGGGGAAUAUUGCACAAUGGGGGAAACCCUGAUGCAGCGACGCCGCGUGAGUGAAGAAGGAAUUCGUUAUGUAAAGCUCUAUCAGCAGGGAAGAAAAUGAGGGUACCUAAGUAAGAAGCCCCGGCUAACUACGGGCCAGCAGGCGAGGUAAUACGUAGGGGGCAAGCGUUAUCCGGAUUUACUGGGUGUAGAGGGAGCGUAGACGGCAGUGCAAGUCUGGAGUGAAAGGCGGGGGCUCAACCCCCGGACUGCUCUUGAAACUGUACGGCUGGAGUGCAGGAGAGGUAAGUGGAAUUCCUAGUGUAGCGGUGAAAUGCGUAGAUAUUAGGAGGAACACCAGUGGCGAAGGCGGCUUACUGGACUGUAACUGACGUUGAGGCCCGAAAGCGUGGGGAGCAAACAGGAUUAGAUACCCUUGUAGUC